AGUGAACGCUGGCGGUAGGCCUAACACAUGCAAGUCGAACGGCAGCACAGUAAGAGCUUGCUCUUACGGGUGGCGAGUGGCGGACGGGUGAGGAAUACAUCGGAAUCUACUUUUUCGUGGGGGAUAACGUAGGGAAACUUACGCUAAUACCGCAUACGACCUACGGGUGAAAGCAGGGGAUCUUCGGACCUUGCGCGUUUGAAUGAGCUGAUGUCGGAUUAGCUAGUUGGCGGGGUAAAGGCCCACCAAGGCGACGAUCCGUAGCUGGUCUGAGAGGAUGAUCGGCCACACUGGAACUGAGACACGGUCCAGACUCCUACGGGAGGCAGCAGUGGGGAAUAUUGGGCAAUGGGCGCAAGCCUGAUCCAGCCAUACCGCGUGGGUGAAGAAGGCCUUCGGGUUGUAAAGCCCUUUUGUUGGGAAAGAAAAGCAGCAGGUUAAUACCCCGCUGUUCUGACGGUACCCAAAGAAUAAGCACCGGCUAACUUCGUG
RNAcentral lists this ribosomal RNA (492 nucleotides) under uncultured bacterium. RNAcentral describes it as "partial 16S ribosomal RNA". It matches the Rfam family "Bacterial small subunit ribosomal RNA", at positions 29 to 507 of the family's 1533-position model. The record is from RNAcentral.